This 855-nucleotide ribosomal RNA is filed under the name Bacillus sp. (in: firmicutes). RNAcentral's name for it is "bacterial SSU rRNA". It matches the Rfam family "Bacterial small subunit ribosomal RNA", at positions 112 to 951 of the family's 1533-position model. The record is from RNAcentral. Lineage: Bacteria; Bacillati; Bacillota; Bacilli; Caryophanales; Bacillaceae.
AACACGUGGGUAACCUGCCUGUAAGACUGGGAUAACUCCGGGAAACCGGAGCUAAUACCGGAUAGUUCCUUGAACCGCAUGGUUCAAGGAUGAAAGACGGUUUCGGCUGUCACUUACAGAUGGACCCGCGGCGCAUUAGCUAGUUGGUGGGGUAAUGGCUCACCAAGGCGACGAUGCGUAGCCGACCUGAGAGGGUGAUCGGCCACACUGGGACUGAGACACGGCCCAGACUCCUACGGGAGGCAGCAGUAGGGAAUCUUCCGCAAUGGACGAAAGUCUGACGGAGCAACGCCGCGUGAGUGAUGAAGGUUUUCGGAUCGUAAAGCUCUGUUGUUAGGGAAGAACAAGUGCGAGAGUAACUGCUCGCACCUUGACGGUACCUAACCAGAAAGCCACGGCUAACUACGUGCCAGCAGCCGCGGUAAUACGUAGGUGGCAAGCGUUGUCCGGAAUUAUUGGGCGUAAAGGGCUCGCAGGCGGUUUCUUAAGUCUGAUGUGAAAGCCCCCGGCUCAACCGGGGAGGGUCAUUGGAAACUGGGAAACUUGAGUGCAGAAGAGGAGAGUGGAAUUCCACGUGUAGCGGUGAAAUGCGUAGAGAUGUGGAGGAACACCAGUGGCGAAGGCGACUCUCUGGUCUGUAACUGACGCUGAGGAGCGAAAGCGUGGGGAGCGAACAGGAUUAGAUACCCUGGUAGUCCACGCCGUAAACGAUGAGUGCUAAGUGUUUAGGGGGUUUCCGCCCCUUAGUGCUGCAGCUAACGCAUUAAGCACUCCGCCUGGGGAGUACGGUCGCAAGACUGAAACUCAAAGGAAUUGACGGGGGCCCGCACAAGCGGUGGAGCAUGUGGUUUAAUU